This 465-nucleotide ribosomal RNA is filed under the name uncultured bacterium. Its description in RNAcentral is "partial 16S ribosomal RNA". It matches the Rfam family "Bacterial small subunit ribosomal RNA", at positions 28 to 507 of the family's 1533-position model. The record is from RNAcentral.
GACGAACGCUGGCGGCGUGCUUAACACAUGCCAGUCGUACGGUAAGGCCCUUUCGGGGGUACACGAGUGGCGCACGGGUGAGUAACACGUGAGUAACCUGCCCACAACUUUGGGAUAACGCUAGGAAACUGGUGCUAAUACUGGAUAUGUGCUCCUGCUGCAUGGUGGGGGUUGGAAAGCUCCGGCGGUUGUGGAUGGACUCGCGGCCUAUCAGCUUGUUGGUGGGGUAGUGGCCUACCAAGGCGGCGACGGGUAGCCGGCCUGAGAGGGUGACCGGCCACAUUGGGACUGAGAUACGGCCCAGACGCCUACGGGAGGCAGCAGUGGGGAAUAUUGCACAAUGGGCGCAAGCCUGAUGCAGCAACGCCGCGUGCGGGAUGACGGCCUUCGGGUUGUAAACCGCUUUCAGCAGGGACGAAGCUUUUUGUGACGGUACCUGCAGAAGAAGCACCGGCUAACUACGUG